GACGAACGCUGGCGGCGUGCCUAAUACAUGCAAGUAGAACGCUGAAGAGAGGAGCUUACUCUUCUUGGAUGAGUUGCGAACGGGUGAGUAACGCGUAGGUAACCUGCCUUGUAGCGGGGGAUAACUAUUGGAAACGAUAGCUAAUACCGCAUAACAAUGGAUGACACAUGUCAUUUAUUUGAAAGGGGCAAUUGCUCCACUACAAGAUGGACCUGCGUUGUAUUAGCUAGUAGGUGAGGUAAUGGCUCACCUAGGCGACGAUACAUAGCCGACCUGAGAGGGUGAUCGGCUACACUGGGACUGAGACACGGCCCAGACUCCUACGGGAGGCAGCAGUAGGGAAUCUUCGGCAAUGGGGGCAACCCUGACCGAGCAACGCCGCGUGAGUGAAGAAGGUUUUCGGAUCGUAAAGCUCUGUUGUAAGUCAAGAACGGGUGUGAGAGUGGAAAGUUCACACUGUGACGGUAGCUUACCAGAAAGGGACGGCUAACUACGUG
This 497-nucleotide ribosomal RNA is filed under the name uncultured bacterium. RNAcentral's name for it is "partial 16S ribosomal RNA". It matches the Rfam family "Bacterial small subunit ribosomal RNA", at positions 28 to 507 of the family's 1533-position model. The record is from RNAcentral.